This is a long non-coding RNA of Manis pentadactyla (Chinese pangolin), 1391 nucleotides long. RefSeq lists it as uncharacterized. The transcript has 3 exons. The record is from RefSeq and is a predicted model, not a curated record. Lineage: Eukaryota; Metazoa; Chordata; Mammalia; Pholidota; Manidae.
AGCUAGUAUUGGGAGGAGGCUCACAUUUGUGCCUGAGGUUGCCUCCAGGGGCUAACAGUCAGGCUUGGCCUGUUUUCUUGCCGCUUUUAGUUUCAAAGCUCCCUUUGAAAGAAAUUUUCUUUAAACUUAAAAAAAUACAUGCUUGUGUGUAAAAAGAAAACAUGGGAAGUACAAAAACAAAGUAUAAACAUACAGAAAAACAUUGCACAUAGUCCUUACGUUAUCUCUACACUGCAUCUCGCUGUUUUCACUUAAAACAGCCUUUCCCAUCAUUACAAGUACUUCAUAGACACUUUAAUGACUUUAAACUACUCUGUUACAUAGAUAGAGCGUAACCAACUGGACCUUGUAUUCCCUUAAUGUCGGGCAUUUGGGAUUCCAAAUUUUCACUAAAUGCUGCAUAAAACACCCCUUUGGGUAAAAAUUUUUAUCUGCGUGUCAAGUUACUUGCUUAGGAUAGAUUCCUAGCAGUAGAAUAAUUAGGCCAAAAGAUAGGAAUGAUUGUAAGACUUUGAUUCAUAUUGUCAGAUUGCUUUCUAGAGAAACAGGGUCAGUUUGCAUCUGCUUGUAGUUCUGCCCUGCUCUGAAGUAGCCCUUCCAGUUGCACCUCUCUGAGCCUGGAUGGAACUGCACGAGUGCAGUUCUGGGCUGUGAUCAUGGGCCACAGGCUCAGUGCCAUCUGAGUGCAAUGCUACACUUGGCCUAGGGUGGAGAUGGUUAGAGCUCCUCAUGGUUGGGACUGCCACUGUGGAAUACAGCGGACACUCUCCAUUGUUGACCCCCAGGACCAAGUGAGCUCCUUGGGAGAGCUGGGCCUAACACAUUGCUUCUGCUGUUGGAACUGAGUCCUACUUAGGUACACCUUCAACAUCCACAAGAGUAGGGAGGGGCUUAGUGAGGAUCUGCUGGUGAAUGAACAGGAAACCUUUAUGGACACUUAGUCCAAGGUGAGGGGAAGUAUUAUGAGUCAAGUUCACGGAAGACAUGGCUGACUUAGAGGUGGGGGUCCAGUAUAAGGCAGGCCUAGAGGACACAGCUGAGGCAGGGGGAGGAUCUGACAAAGCCAUAGGAGGCAGAGCUCCGUGAGUGCUCCCACAGUCCCUGGAUCCUGAGGCGCUGACUAGGCAGGCUUCACAGGGGAUGUGAUCUUGCAGCUGACACCAUGAGGUGAGUGCUUGGGUUGGGGCGUUUUCCGUUGAAGGGUACCACUUGUCUGUGAGCACCUUCAGGACAGGUACAUGGUCAAUUUGCUGUGUGUCCCCAGAGCCUAGCAAGUACCUGCUGAAUGUGUUGCAGGAAGGGAUGAGCAGUGAGUUCAGAGCAGAGACACAGAGGGGUGCAGAGCAGGGAGUCUUCCCCCAGAGGGCUGUGCCUGAUGUCCCCCUCUACCU